CCGUUACUGUUUGUUGAUCACAGUUGCUUGUACCUCUCAUGUGACACUAUUGGUUAAUUCGAACUUUGUGAAGUGUCCGAGGAAGAUGAUGGUCGAUCGAGACAAACAUGAAACAUGUAAAGCAGGAUCCCCCUCCCUUCGGCAUAUAUCGGCGCCCGCCACCGUCCAUAGCUGCUGAGUACACUGAAUCCACGAAGAGCCUAGGCCUAUCCGACCAAUGCUAGC
RNAcentral lists this long non-coding RNA (225 nucleotides) under Gossypium barbadense (sea-island cotton). Its description in RNAcentral is "long non-coding RNA (GBAR_LNC007674)". Lineage: Eukaryota; Viridiplantae; Streptophyta; Magnoliopsida; Malvales; Malvaceae. The record is from RNAcentral.